AACGAACGCUGGUGGCAUGCCUAACACAUGCAAGUCGAACGAGACCUUCGGGUCUAGUGGCGCACGGGUGCGUAACGCGUGGGAACCUGCCCUUAGGUUCUGAAUAACUCCCCGAAAGGGGUGCUAAUACCGGAUAAUGUCUUCGGACCAAAGAUUUAUCGCCUUUGGAUGGGCCCGCGUUGGAUUAGCUAGUUGGUAGGGUAAAAGCCUACCAAGGCGACGAUCCAUAGCUGGUCUGAGAGGAUGAUCAGCCACACUGGGACUGAGACACGGCCCAGACUCCUACGGGAGGCAGCAGUGGGGAAUAUUGGACAAUGGGCGAAAGCCUGAUCCAGCAAUGCCGCGUGAGUGAUGAAGGCCUUAGGGUUGUAAAGCUCUUUUACCCGGGAUGAUAAUGACAGUACCGGGAGAAUAAGCUCCGGCUAACUCCGUG
This 433-nucleotide ribosomal RNA is filed under the name uncultured bacterium. Its description in RNAcentral is "partial 16S ribosomal RNA". It matches the Rfam family "Bacterial small subunit ribosomal RNA", at positions 29 to 507 of the family's 1533-position model. The record is from RNAcentral.